AUGGAACUAGGUUAUGUCUUCAUGGAAGACCUCGCUAGAGCUGUGGCACAAUUCUACCCCUCUUCAUCUGGAGGAAUGUCUGGGGGGUUCAAUCAACCUCCUUCCCCAGAGGGGGCUCUGCCUGCAUUUCACGAAACCCAAGAUCAGCCUGGUCCUUCAGCUUCAGAAGGGGAGGGUCGGGCUGUCCGGGAUUUUAGCAGUGAAUUGCGUAAUAUUGAGUCAUUACGCGAAGAUAAGUCCCUAG
Non-coding RNA from Vicia faba (fava bean), 244 nucleotides. The record is from the annotation of a GenBank genome assembly. NCBI's taxonomy places the organism in Eukaryota, Viridiplantae, Streptophyta, Magnoliopsida, Fabales, Fabaceae.